This 20-nucleotide transfer RNA is filed under the name Ortalis vetula (plain chachalaca). Its description in RNAcentral is "partial tRNA-Met". Lineage: Eukaryota; Metazoa; Chordata; Aves; Galliformes; Cracidae. The record is from RNAcentral.
UUUAAACCCCUCCCCUACUA